CAGUAGCCACGGGAAUACGAAGGGUGCAAGCGUUAUUCGGAAUUACUGGGCGUAAAGCGUGCGUAGGUGGUGGUUUAAGUCCGUUGUGAAAGCCCUGGGCUCAACCUGGGAAUUGCAGUGGAUACUGGGUCACUAGAGUGUGGUAGAGGAUAGUGGAAUUUCCGGUGUAGCAGUGAAAUGCGUAGAGAACGGAAGGAACGUCUGUGGCGAAGGCGACUAUCUGGGCCAACACUGACACUGAGGCACGAAAGCGUGGGGAGCAAACAGGAUUAGAUACCCCGGUAGUCCCUGUCUCUUAUAC
Molecule: ribosomal RNA, 301 nt
Filed under: uncultured bacterium
Lineage: Bacteria
Description: partial 16S ribosomal RNA
Rfam family: Bacterial small subunit ribosomal RNA
Source: RNAcentral